CACGCCGUAAACGAUGAAUACUAGGUGUAGGAGGUAUCAACUCCUUCUGUGCCGCAGUUAACACAAUAAGUAUUCCGCCUGGGAAGUACGAUCGCAAGAUUAAAACUCAAAGGAAUUGACGGGGGCCCGCACAAGCAGCGGAGCAUGUGGUUUAAUUCGAAGCAACGCGAAGAACCUUACCUAGACUUGACAUCCCCUGAAUUACUCGUAAUUGAGGAAGUCCCUUCGGGGACAGGGAGACAGGUGG
RNAcentral lists this ribosomal RNA (247 nucleotides) under uncultured Clostridium sp. RNAcentral's name for it is "partial 16S ribosomal RNA". It matches the Rfam family "Bacterial small subunit ribosomal RNA", at positions 796 to 1041 of the family's 1533-position model. The record is from RNAcentral. Lineage: Bacteria; Bacillati; Bacillota; Clostridia; Eubacteriales; Clostridiaceae.